Molecule: ribosomal RNA, 497 nt
Filed under: Baetis tricaudatus
Lineage: Eukaryota; Metazoa; Arthropoda; Insecta; Ephemeroptera; Baetidae
Description: partial 16S ribosomal RNA
Rfam family: Archaeal large subunit ribosomal RNA
Source: RNAcentral
UCGCCUCCAGCGUUAAUUGUAGGUACGGCCUGCCCAAUGAUUUUUAAUGGCCGCAGUAUUUUGACUGUGCAAAGGUAGCAUAAUCACUUGUCUCUUAAUUGGAGGCUCGUAUGAAUGGCUAGACGUGGAAAUAACUGUCUCUAAGAUUAUAAAACUUAAUUUUUAAGUCAAAAAGCUUAAAUAAUUCAGCAGGACGAGAAGACCCCAUAGAUCUUUAUAUCGAUACAUUUAAAAAGUAUAGCCGUCAUUACUUUAAAGGACAUAAAUAUUUUGUUGGGGUGACAAGAAGUAAUAAACACUUUAUGAACAAACGCCAAUAGUUGGUUAAAUGACCCGGUCCGCCGAUUAAAAAAUUAAGUUACCUUGGGGAUAACAGCGUAAUCUGCUUUAGAGUCCCUAUCAAACAGCAGGGUUGCGACCUCGAUGUUGGAUUAAGAAUCUCCCCAUGAGCAGUCCCUUGGUUGAGGGGUCUGUUCGACCCAUAAAUUCUUACAUGA